Molecule: ribosomal RNA, 253 nt
Filed under: uncultured bacterium
Lineage: Bacteria
Description: partial 16S ribosomal RNA
Rfam family: Bacterial small subunit ribosomal RNA
Source: RNAcentral
CACGUAGGGCGCAAGCGUUGUCCGGAAUUAUUGGGCGUAAAGAGCUCGUAGGCGGUCUGUUGCGUCCGCUGUGAAAACUCGGGGCUUAACCCCGAGCCUGCAGUGGAUACGGGCAGACUAGAGGUAGGUAGGGGAGAAUGGAAUUCCCGGUGUAGCGGUGAAAUGCGCAGAUAUCGGGAUGAACACCGGUGGCGAAGGCGGUUCUCUGGGCCUUACCUGACGCUGAGGAGCGAAAGCGUGGGGAGCGAACAGG